CGAAGGGUGCAAGCGUUAAUCGGAAUUACUGGGCGUAAAGCGCGCGUAGGUGGUUCAGCAAGUUGGAGGUGAAAAUCCCCGGGCGUCAACCUGGGAACGUGCCUCCAAAACUAACUGAGCUAGAGUACGGUAGAGGGUAGUGGAAUUUCCUGUGUAGCGGUGAAAUAGCGUAGAUAUAGGAAGGAACACCAGUGGCGAAGGCGACUACCUGGACUGAUACUGACACUGAGGUGCGAAAGCGUGGGGAGCAAACAGGAUU
RNAcentral lists this ribosomal RNA (259 nucleotides) under uncultured bacterium. RNAcentral's name for it is "partial 16S ribosomal RNA". It matches the Rfam family "Bacterial small subunit ribosomal RNA", at positions 526 to 779 of the family's 1533-position model. The record is from RNAcentral.